CGUAGGUGGCAAGCGGUUGUCCGGAAUUAUUGGGCGUAAAGCGCGCGCAGGCGGUUCCUUAAGUCUGAUGUGAAAGCCCCCGGCUCAACCGGGGAAGGUCAUUGGAAACUGGGGAACUUGAGUGCAGAAGAGAAGAGCGGAAUUCCACGUGUAGCGGUGAAAUGCGUAGAGAUGUGGAGGAACACCAGUGGCGAAGGCGGCUCUUUGGUCUGUAACUGACGCUGAGGCGCGAAAGCGUGGGGAGCAAACAGGAUUAGAUACCCUGGUAGUCCACGCCGUAAACGAUGAGUGCUAAGUGUUAGAGGGUUUCCGCCCUUUAGUGCUGCAGCUAACGCAUUAAGCACUCCGCCUGGGGAGUACGGCCGCAAGGCUG
This 373-nucleotide ribosomal RNA is filed under the name uncultured organism. RNAcentral's name for it is "bacterial SSU rRNA". It matches the Rfam family "Bacterial small subunit ribosomal RNA", at positions 526 to 896 of the family's 1533-position model. The record is from RNAcentral.